RNAcentral lists this ribosomal RNA (166 nucleotides) under Vigna marina (notched cowpea). RNAcentral describes it as "5.8S ribosomal RNA". It matches the Rfam family "5.8S ribosomal RNA". Rfam says of the family: 5.8S ribosomal RNA (5.8S rRNA) is a component of the large subunit of the eukaryotic ribosome. It is transcribed by RNA polymerase I as part of the 45S precursor that also contains 18S and 28S rRNA. Lineage: Eukaryota; Viridiplantae; Streptophyta; Magnoliopsida; Fabales; Fabaceae. The record is from RNAcentral.
AUGAAAUGACUCUCGGCAACGGAUAUCUCGGCUCUUGCAUCGAUGAAGAACGUAGCGAAAUGCGAUACUUGGUGUGAAUUGCAGAAUCCCGUGAACCAUCGAGUCUUUGAACGCAAGUUGCGCCCGAAGCCAUUAGGUUGAGGGCACGCCUGCCUGGGUGUCACGU